GAAAUGCGAUACGUAAUGUGAAUUGCAGAAUUCAGUGAAUCAUCGAAUCUUUGAACGCAUAUUGCGCUCUUUGGUAUUCCGAAGAGCAUGCUUGUUUGAGUAUCAGUAAACACCUCAAAGACUUCAAUUUGUUUUGAAUGGCUUUGGACUUGAGCAAUCCCAACACCAGUCUUUACGAUCGGUGGAGGGUUGCUUGAAAUGCAGGUGCAGCUGGACAUUCUCCUGAGCUAAAAGCAUAUUUAUUUAGUCCCGUCAAACGGAUUAUUACUUUUGCUGCAGCUAACAUAAAGGGAGUUUGACCGUAUUGGCUGACUGAUGCAGGAUUUCACAAGGGUCGGCAACGAUUCUUGUAAAACUCGAUCUCAAAUCAAGUAAGACUACCCGCUGAACUUAA
Molecule: unclassified non-coding RNA, 394 nt
Filed under: uncultured fungus
Lineage: Eukaryota; Fungi
Also listed under: 1 other name
Description: sequence contains ITS1
Rfam family: 5.8S ribosomal RNA (bases 1-105)
Source: RNAcentral